GAUGAACGCUGGCGGCGUGCUUAACACAUGCAAGUCGAACGAAGCACUUUAUUACGAUUUCUUCGGAAUGACGAUUUAGUGACUGAGUGGCGGACGGGUGAGUAACGCGUGGGUAACCUGCCUUAUACAGGGGGAUAACAGUUAGAAAUGACUGCUAAUACCGCAUAAGCGCACAGGAUUGCAUGAUCUGGUGUGAAAAACUCCGGUGGUAUAAGAUGGACCCGCGUCUGAUUAGCUAGUUGGUGAGGUAACGGCCCACCAAGGCGACGAUCAGUAGCCGGCCUGAGAGGGUGAACGGCCACAUUGGGACUGAGACACGGCCCAAACUCCUACGGGAGGCAGCAGUGGGGAAUAUUGCACGAUGGGGGAAACCUGAUGCAGCGACGCCGCGUGAGUGAUGAAGUAUUUCGGUAUGUAAAGCUCUAUCAGCAGGGAAGAGAAAUGACGGUACCUGACUAAGAAGCACCGGCUAAAUACGUGCCAGCA
RNAcentral lists this ribosomal RNA (486 nucleotides) under uncultured bacterium. RNAcentral's name for it is "bacterial SSU rRNA". It matches the Rfam family "Bacterial small subunit ribosomal RNA", at positions 28 to 513 of the family's 1533-position model. The record is from RNAcentral.